UCGUAACCUGCUAAGCAGAACGACCCGCGAACCAGUUUAAAAAUUGGGAGUGAUCUAGCCUCUUGGCUUGGAUUACCCAUUGCUAGUUGGAAUGUUAUUUGCGUUUGCCCCUUUCUUCUAUGCAAAGUGGUAAGCACGAUGACAUGCCCCCUGGCAAAAAACUAACCCCGGCGCAAAUCGCGUCAAGGAACUCGAACGAAUGAGCGUGCUCUCCUCGGCCCGGAUACGGUGUCCUUGUGAGAGUUACGUCGUCUUCGAUAUGUCAAAAAUGACUCUCGGCAACGGAUAUCUCGGCUCUCGCAUCGAUGAAGAACGUAGCGAAAUGCGAUACUUGGUGUGAAUUGCAGAAUCCCGUGAACCAUCGAGUCUUUGAACGCAAGUUGCGCCCGAAGCCAUCAGGUUGAGGGCACGUCUGCCUGGGCGUCACACACCGUUGCCCUCCCAACAACACGUUCCUUCAAGGCUACGUCGUCGGUUGUGAAGGCGCAUAUUGGCUUCCCGUGAGCUUUGUCUUGUGGUUGGCCAAAAAUCUAGUCAUUGGCUACCCGUGCCACGACAAUGGUGGUUGUCGAACCUUCGGUGCCCUGUCGUGUGUUCGGGCCGUUCGUGAUGCAAGGACCCCAACGCAUCCAAUGCGAUGCCUUCCGAU
RNAcentral lists this ribosomal RNA (649 nucleotides) under Shepherdia argentea. RNAcentral's name for it is "eukaryotic LSU rRNA". The stretch from base 271 to 426 matches the Rfam family "5.8S ribosomal RNA". Lineage: Eukaryota; Viridiplantae; Streptophyta; Magnoliopsida; Rosales; Elaeagnaceae. The record is from RNAcentral.